This 635-nucleotide ribosomal RNA is filed under the name Fusarium cf. cerealis 98/LC1. Its description in RNAcentral is "SSU rRNA". It matches the Rfam family "Eukaryotic small subunit ribosomal RNA", at positions 259 to 897 of the family's 1831-position model. Lineage: Eukaryota; Fungi; Ascomycota; Sordariomycetes; Hypocreales; Nectriaceae. The record is from RNAcentral.
ACUCCUCGAAUCUCAUGGCCAAGAUAGCCGGCGAUGGUUCAUUCAAAUUUCUUCCCUAUCAACUUUCGAUGUUUGGGUAUUGGCCAAACAUGGUUGCAACGGGUAACGGAGGGUUAGGGCUCGACCCCGGAGAAGGAGCCUGAGAAACGGCUACUACAUCCAAGGAAGGCAGCAGGCGCGCAAAUUACCCAAUCCCGACACGGGGAGGUAGUGACAAUAAAUACUGAUACAGGGCUCUUUUGGGUCUUGUAAUUGGAAUGAGUACAAUUUAAAUCCCUUAACGAGGAACAAUUGGAGGGCAAGUCUGGUGCCAGCAGCCGCGGUAAUUCCAGCUCCAAUAGCGUAUAUUAAAGUUGUUGUGGUUAAAAAGCUCGUAGUUGAACCUUGGGCCUGGCUGGCCGGUCCGCCUCACCGCGUGUACUGGUCCGGCCGGGCCUUUCCCUCUGUGGAACCCCAUGCCCUUCACUGGGCGUGGCGGGGAAACAGGACUUUUACUGUGAAAAAAUUAGAGUGCUCCAGGCAGGCCUAUGCUCGAAUACAUNAGCAUGGAAUAAUAGANUAGGACGUGUGGUUCUAUUUUGUUGGUUUCUAGGACCGCCGUAAUGAUUAAUAGGGACAGUCGGGGGCAUCAGUAU